This 491-nucleotide ribosomal RNA is filed under the name uncultured bacterium. RNAcentral's name for it is "partial 16S ribosomal RNA". It matches the Rfam family "Bacterial small subunit ribosomal RNA", at positions 29 to 507 of the family's 1533-position model. The record is from RNAcentral.
UUGAACGCUGGCGGCAUGCUUUACACAUGCCAGUCGAACGGUAACAGGCCUUCGGGUGCUGACGAGUGGCGAACGGGUGAGUAAUGCAUCGGAACGUACCCAGAGGUGGGGGAUAACGCAGCGAAAGCUGUGCUAAUACCGCAUGUGAUCUGAGGAUGAAAGCGGGGGACCGAGCAGCAAUGUUUGGCCUCGCGCCUUUGGAGCGGCCGAUGUCGGAUUAGCUAGUUGGUGGGGUAAAGGCCUACCAAGGCGACGAUCCGUAGCUGGUCUGAGAGGACGACCAGCCACACUGGGACUGAGACACGGCCCAGACUCCUACGGGAGGCAGCAGUGGGGAAUUUUGGACAAUGGGCGCAAGCCUGAUCCAGCAAUGCCGCGUGCGGGAAGAAGGCCUUCGGGUUGUGAACCGCUUUUGGCAGGAACGAAACGGUGUCCGCUAAUACCGGGCGCUAAUGACGGUACCUGCAGAAUAAGCACCGGCUAACUACGUG